GAACGAUGAACCUCACUUGUGGGGGGACCAGUGGCGAACGGGUGAGUAACACGUGAGUAACCUGCCCUUGACUCUGGGAUAAGCCUGGGAAACCGGGUCUAAUACUGGAUACGACCUUCUGGCGCAUGCCAUGUUGGUGGAAAGCUUUUGUGGUUUUGGAUGGACUCGCGGCCUAUCAGCUUGUUGGUGGGGUAAUGGCCUACCAAGGCGACGACGGGUAGCCGGCCUGAGAGGGUGACCGGCCACACUGGGACUGAGACACGGCCCAGACUCCUACGGGAGGCAGCAGUGGGGAAUAUUGCACAAUGGGCGCAAGCCUGAUGCAGCGACGCCGCGUGAGGGAUGAAGGCCUUCGGGUUGUAAACCUCUUUCAGUAGGGAAGAAGCCGGUCUUUUGGGUUGGUGACGGUACCUGCAGAAGAAGCGCCGGCUAACUACGUGCCAGCAGCCGCGGUAAUACGUAGGGCGCAAGCGUUAUCCGGAAUUAUUGGGCGUAAAGAGCUCGUAGGCGGUUUGUCGCGUCUGCCGUGAAAGUCCGGGGCUUAACUCCGGAUCUGCGGUGGGUACGGGCAGACUAGAGUGCAGUAGGGGAGACUGGAAUUCCUGGUGUAGCGGUGAAAUGCGCAGAUAUCAGGAGGAACACCGAUGGCGAAGGCAGGUCUCUGGGCUGUAACUGACGCUGAGGAGCGAAGCAUGGGGAGCGAACAGGAUA
Molecule: ribosomal RNA, 711 nt
Filed under: Arthrobacter sp. GIC54
Lineage: Bacteria; Bacillati; Actinomycetota; Actinomycetes; Micrococcales; Micrococcaceae
Description: bacterial SSU rRNA
Rfam family: Bacterial small subunit ribosomal RNA
Source: RNAcentral